Molecule: long non-coding RNA, 3283 nt
Filed under: Canis lupus familiaris (dog)
Lineage: Eukaryota; Metazoa; Chordata; Mammalia; Carnivora; Canidae
Description: lncRNA (ENSCAFG00000051243.1)
Source: RNAcentral
UUUUUUUCUUUUUUAUUCUUUCAGUCACAGAUUCUCUUGUUCCAUGUCUGCUUUUUAGAGGGACUCCUAAAUGUAAGGAGGAGGGAAAGUUGAUUAGAGGGCGUACGUUCUGGUCACAAAGUGUGGGCCAGGAGAGGGGCUAGGGACCAGGCAGCACUGAGGGCAGCCCCUCUUCCUCUUUCCCUUCCUCUCCGCUCUUAGGGAGGACUGCCUUAGGAAGCACUGCCAGGGAUGAGGGUUAGGUUUAAAAAACAAACAAAAAGAAUUAUUGAGAUGAUUUCUUCCAUCCAGUGAACACCAUUACACUAACUUAGAGCAAGGUCGGAGGGAAUAAGGGACUUCUCCUUUCCCAGAAGCUCAGCAUGUGGCCCUUUCUACAGAAGAGAAGCCCACGACCCACCCCCCCCCCCGGCCAGGCACUCCGGGUCACUCUGUGAUGUAGGCAACAACGAGCCCAGCAUCAACAAAGGGACCACCUCUUGCUGCGGUGCCCAAGGUGGGACAGGCCCAGAGUUUAGAUGGAGUGGGACAUGGGUGAGGGUUGUGGGCUAUUCUUAAAUUUCUUGGAGGCUCCGUGUCUCCUGUCAUGUACUGUUAAAGCCUGACCAGAAAUGGACCCACUGGGUAUUGGUUCCAUGCUGCAUAGAACUUGGUCCAGUCUCUUGUUCUGUUAACACAAUGAACACUGGCUGCCCAUCUCUGUCCCCCAAAAGGACAGCCUAAGUUUUGGACUCUACACAGGGCCUCAUGGGUCUGGGCCCAAGUGUCAGUAGUUAGUUUGGGCUAGACUCUUUUGAUAUAGCUAAUGAAGACUGCAAAACAAAACUUAAGUAAAAAUGAUAAACAAUGGGUCCCAAGAUGCCAUAACCCAGUUUUACUAAAGACACCAACUAACAGAUUCAUAUGAAUUUGCCUUCCCCUCCUCCUCCCCUUGUAGAGCCAUGUGUUCUCUGAAAGUAUCAUUUAUGUCUCGGCGAUUCAGAUGUCCUACAAGAGACUUUAUCCUUAAAUGGUCUGGUGUUAAUAUUUCCUCACAGCACGUCUCUGUUCAGUUUUACUAAUUGUCAAGUGUUUUCAUUUUCUGCAAACUCUGAGUCCCAGAAUGCUGUUCUCUGGAACCCAGGGAGACCCAGAGCAAAGCUAGGGAAGACCAAAGGGAAGGGUGAUGCCCCUUUACUGGCCAAAUCCCACUGUGUCUUCAAUGACUUCUGACUUUCUCCAGGUGUUUUUAAGGCAGGGGGAAGGUGGGGGGGCAGUCUUCUCGCAAAUGAUGCCAGGGAGACAGAGAAUAGAAGUGAGCAAAUGAAAUAUAGAAGCCUACAGCCCACCACCCUCCACUUAGGUAACCUGCCCUGAAAGCUCACUCAGGGGGUGUGGACAAGGUCAAGACAGAUGGCCCUCUCCAGGGAGGGCCUGAACAGUGUGGCCCAAACAAAAGCCAUAACAUCUUCCAUCCUUUCUUUCCCCCAAAUCCAUGCAAUGCCUAAGGCUAUGCACCCCACCCCUGCCCUGCACCUCCUGCCAGGCCCUCCUCUCCUGUCUGGCAGUUGUCCUGCUCUCCCUGCCCAUUUCACCUUCUAGACCCUACUUUGCUCUAAGACUAUGAUUCUGCCAAACAGCCCACCUCACCUUUCUCUCAUCACUUCCAGUUCUCAGUGUCAAACCCCAGCUUCUGCGUGAGGCCCCCCAGGGCUGUACGGCACAGAGAACCCCUUCCUCUCCAGCCUGACACACAUCUCCUGCCUCCUUCCUACCCCUAACACAUGCACAGGAACACUUACAGCUUCCGAAACACCCUGUGUGCUCCCAUUUCUGGGCCUCACCCUGACCCACUCCUCCACCAUGAAUUCCCUCGUCCCCCUACAAUUGCACGAGACCCAGGCAUCUCCUGAAUGGGGCAGACCUCAUUCACCUUGGACUCCCACAGAGCAGGCACUUGAUAAACUUUCUAUGGAUCAUUAGAGAGUUGCUGACCUGGUUAGGGGAUGGAGUUCCCAUCAAGUUACUGCUUCAGCUGGGACAUUUCAGAAUGGCCACACCACACAGGGCAGCAGCGUGGUAAAGACCUGAAGCUGAGGGCUCAGCUGGCCCUGAAUCGAGCCCCAUCCCUGCCUCAGAGGAUGCCAGUCUUGUCCUGCGCAGAAUGUGAACCACAGCAGAAGCGCCACGUGGCCCUGGUGGGAAGGCUUGCAGGGGUAAUGACUGGAAAAUGUUUAUCACCAUGCCAGGCACAAUAAAAGUGCCCAAUAAAUACCAACCUAGAAAAAAAAUGCCUGGAUCCAUGAAGUUCUAGUUUUCUUUUUUUUUUUUUUUUUAGUUUAUUUAUUUAUUUGUUUAUUUAUUUAUUUAUUUAUGAGAGACACACAGAGAGAGGCAGAGAUAUAGGAAAAGGGAGAAGCAGACGCCCUGUGGGAAGCCCAACGUGAGACUUGAUCCUAGGACCCCAGGAUCACGCCCUUAGCCAAAGGCAGACGCUCAACCACUGAGCCACCCAAACUGUCCCUAGUUUUAUUUUAUUUUUCCUUCAUCUCUCACAAAUCACAAUCCAACUUGAGAAGUGCUUUCUCUUUUCAGUGAGAAGGGCCAAAUGCCCACUUCCUCGGUGAGACAAGGCCUGGGGGAGAGAAAGCUGUGCUGGGUCAGCAGGGCUGGAGGGUGGGCGGCCACCGUGUGGUGGGCCCCAAAAUCUGAGGGCCUGGAAAAACCAUGGUUUACCACAGAAACCAUGACAGGACCUUCAAAUUAACACCCAACCUUCCUUCCUCCCCCGGGGGCCUCCCAAGCCCCCUCAAAGGUAAGGACAGAGGCCACUGCUCCAGCAGCUAAGAAGCCCACUCUGUGGUUUGACUUUUCCUGUCCUCCCACUUGCCGCAGAGCCCCCGCAGCCUCUCACUGCUCCCUGGAGCUCCUGGCCUUGGCCUUAACUGGAGGCCAAAAUGUCUUCUGCUAACACUGCUCCCUUCACUCCUGGAUGCAGGAAUCUUUCUCAUAAUUUCUUUUAAGAAAAGAUGGCCCAUUUUUGGUUUGUUUGGGUUUUGUUUUGUUUUGUGAAAAAAAGGGCAGCAUCCUCUUCCCCUAACAACCACAUCUGUUAAGAAGCAAUUGCUAUUAUCCUAUUGGGAAGAGCUUCAAAAAGUGUUCUAAUAGCUAUAGACAGUUUAGUACAGGCCUUAAAACCACAUCUCUGCUGCACAGUGAUUCCUGCCCAGUUUCUAGCAUUAGAAUCCUACUCAUUUACCUUCCUCAUCUCUUCUGGAAAUCAGCUUCUCACACAGCUCUCUGC